Osmia lignaria (orchard mason bee) is the source of this 1845-nucleotide non-coding RNA. The record is from RefSeq and is a predicted model, not a curated record. NCBI's taxonomy places the organism in Eukaryota, Metazoa, Arthropoda, Insecta, Hymenoptera, Megachilidae.
UUGUUUUCACGGCACACAAGACGAAAUGCAGGGGGGUCAGUCGCAAGCGUAAUUGAAUCGACCGUUCUUAAUGCCCGAUAAAUCUCUGGAAGAAGAGUCACGUGUGUGUGUGCACGCGUGUAGGUGACACGCGACAGCCACGAGCCCAUCAAUCGUCUUGGCACCAUACGGGUGCAUCUACCGGUGUCUAGUGUGUAUCAAUUGCACCAUAAAGUCCCCAUGUGCGGUAAGAUUUGUCUCUAUGUUUGCAGAAAAAAGGUAGGGACCUUGCAAUAUCGUAAUUACUGUACUAUAAUCAAUGCCCGAUCGCACAUUAGAUAUUUAUCAAACACGAAUUCUUGAUACAAAUGUUCAUUCUUGUAUGAAUGUGCCUUUUACUAAAUGGCUUCUUUCCAUUUAGCGAUUUUCGGCCACGCUGCACCGUUCUGCUCGAAAGAUAUUACUUCAGUGUUUCAUUGACGUUUAAUUAAUUCGCUAUUUAAGUCCUGUCGAUCUACAAUUCGCUUACCAUGUUCUGUAAAUGCCGCCUGCCGGUAACGCUCGUUGGAAACGAACCUUAUUGUGCGCGACGAUCGUUUCCGUGACGUCACGUGACACGGCCAUUUCGUUUCCGCGUAGUAGAUCGGCGUGUCGACCGGACAGCUUUUGAUGAACGAGUACAUAGUGAUUUUGUGAGGGGUUGUUUCCUUUAUCGAAUCGAUCGACGAUUCAGAAACUGAUAAAUGUUGUUGAAAAGUGAAUAUUACAGGUGUUUCGUGAUCUGAUGAAGUUUGGUGAGAAGUUUUGUGUAGUGAGGUUAAAGUGACUGCUACGUUUCCAACAGUUUUGUUAAUCAUCUAAAACACAUGUUACAUACCUAGCAGAUGCAAUUUAAUAACAUUGUUAAACAUUUAUGGACAUUUAUUUUCCUAACUGCUGUUCUUGAAAACGAGAAGAAACAACAGAAAAUGUGAACACAGUGGAAAACGCAAUACCCUCUCCCCAUCUUUAACCAUCAGUUAAUGGAUUAACAGCAGUAGCAGAGGCAGAUUAGCCGCAACGAAAUGAAACGAAACCACCGCCAUUAGCCAAAGACUGGUGGCGCCGUUGGUGGUUAAACUGCAACGAAACUGGGAAGAAUAAAGCUGACCAACGGCGUUGGAAAUCUCGUUAUGCCGUUAAUAGGGCAACGAUUAUCUUUGCAAUGGAAAUUUCACUGUCUACCGUGUUCCUCGGACAUAUUUGGGAACGUCGCGAACCGUGCUGUGCCGGCAUUAAUUCCACGGAAGGGAAGCAGCCGUGUACGCACAGCCGAAACGAUAAUUGGUGUUACGCGAGAAUUACGAGCAGCCGGACAAUAAACACCGGUCGAAUCGACCAGCCCGAUAUCCAUUCGGCCGUCAUAACGUUAUUAAAGCACGCGACACGCUAUUACUUAACAGUGGUUAGUUAACAAUUCGGAGGAGAUCAUUAGGCGACAAUCAUACGGUCGAGCGACCCGAGAUAAUAGUUCAACGCACCCGAUAUCAUCAAACUGUGCCGUCGAGUUGUUGUAAUGUUAAUAAUUAGGCUAUCGGCCAGAGAUAUGAUAUGGGAAUUCCGAUUUUCAAUCAGAUUGGAUCUGUAAAGCCCUAAUGAGGGAAAGGCAACCUAAAGCCUUCAAUAAUGGUUUCGAAGAUACGAAGAUUAUUAUAAACAUCUAUUAAGUGAAUCUUUAAGAAGAAAUACAAAAUGGUCGCUAGAAUAUUAAAGCUUUGCAAUUGUUAUUUAAAAAGAAACAUGUUUGAUUUCUUUUUCUGAGAAAUGUACCUGAGGAUAUUGCUACGAAAGAAUGAGAUUUUAAGGGAAUUGAUUUUUUUUUUUUUU